UUGUUUUGUCUUCUUUUUUUUUUUUUUUUUUUUUGGAAAGAAACAUGGGAGGGGGGUUAAAGGUAGGGGUAAGGGGUGGUGAGGUAGUGGGAUAGGGUAUAGGAUAAAGUUUGUUAGUAUAAGGUUAGGGAUUUAUUAAAUUUUUGUUAUUUUUGUAUUUUUGUGGGGUAUAAUUACAUGGGUGAGGGUACACGGUAGGAUAAAGUAAAAAAUGAGUAAAAACGAUAUUGGGGAGGGACGAAAUUAGGUGUCUACAAAUGCCAUGUCUGUCUGCUAGCUAAACGAACUAGAAUACCAUUUCCUGAUAGUAAUUCUAAAGUUGUGAAGCCUUUUGAUGUAGUACGUAUGGAUCUUUGGGGGCCUUAAAAAGUCCCUACUUUUGAUAAGAAACACUACUUUCUUACUGUAGUAGAUGAUCAUAGUAGGUAUACUUGGCUUCACUUGUUACAGUUGAAAUCUGAAUGUAUUAUGGCUAUUAAAAACUUUUUGAAUUUGAUAAGAAAUCAAUUUGGUGCUCAAAUAAAAGUUCUCAGAUCAAAUAAUGGAACGGAAUUUAUAAACUCACAAUAUAGAGAGUUAUUUCAAUCCUUGGGUGUAUUGCAUCAAAGUAGCUACCCCUACACACCACAGCAGAAUGGGAUUGUUGAAAGAAAGCACAGGCAAAUACUAAAUAUUGCUUGAGCUAUCAGGCUUCAGUCUCAGAUGCCUAUCAAGUUUUGGGGAUUGAAUGCCAAGGCUGUGGUUUAUCUUAUGAACAUGCUACCUUCUUCUUCUAUUGGAGGUAAGAGUCCUUAUGAGGUGCUAUUCUGUAAAAUUCCCUCACUGACACAUCUUAGAGUUAUUGGCUGUAAGUGUUAUGCCUCAGUACUACCCAGAGGAGAUAAGUUUACUGAAAGAGCCAAACCUGCAGUACUUAUGGGAUAUUCUACUUCUCAGAAAGACAAGACCACUUCAGAGUUGUCUUCUGACUUUCUUACAAUAAGUGAGAAUGAAUGUGCAGAUGCAAACAUGGAUGAUCAUGUAGAUUCUCACCUGUUAUACCAGAGUCUUGUCACCAGAUUCCUAUGUCUUCAGAUGAGAAUAUGAAUAUUUCCAAUGUUCCAAAUAGCAUACUAGAUGAUGUUCCCUCCAACUCAUCAUAUGCUACAACAUCAUCCUCACAACCUGAAGUACCUGCUCCAAGAAAAUCAACCAGAGUACACAAGCUACCUGCUUGGAUGAUGGACUAUGCAACACCAGGAAAGGGAAAAGGAACAAGAUUUCCCUUAGACAAAUAUUUGUUCUACGCUGGGACUAGUCUUAAUUAUCAGUAUUUUGUGUCCAAUUUGUCAGUAUUAGUUGAACCUCAAUCAUAUAAUUAAGCAGUUAAGGAUUGUUUUGCAAUAAUUUUGACUUUUUGAUAAGAGUCGCCACUUAAUUUUGAAAAGAAAUUAAGAAACCUUAAAUACUUUAAACGAUCCAAAAUAGAAAAAAAUCAUUUAAGUCAAAGAUUCUGAAUAAGCAGUUCCUAUUAACGUUUUAGGAAGGUGUUAGGCACCUAAAACGUUCGCUAACUUGAGGUUAUCCGAUCUGUUUGAAAAUCAUCUCUUUUGACUAACUUGGAAAAUCGACUUGUGGGAAAAGUAUUUGAUUAAGGAAAAGUUUUUUUGCAAAAUCAAUUUUUUAGCGACUUAGUUAGGGAUUAACUAGAUUCGAACACUAAGCA
Molecule: long non-coding RNA, 1705 nt
Organism: Capsicum annuum
Lineage: Eukaryota; Viridiplantae; Streptophyta; Magnoliopsida; Solanales; Solanaceae
Exons: 2
Source: RefSeq, a predicted model, not a curated record